RNAcentral lists this non-coding RNA (29 nucleotides) under Homo sapiens (human). The record is from RNAcentral. Lineage: Eukaryota; Metazoa; Chordata; Mammalia; Primates; Hominidae.
UCUGGUCAGUGGGACCUGGUCAUUGUGGG